Molecule: long non-coding RNA, 422 nt
Organism: Ipomoea triloba (trilobed morning glory)
Lineage: Eukaryota; Viridiplantae; Streptophyta; Magnoliopsida; Solanales; Convolvulaceae
Exons: 3
Source: RefSeq, a predicted model, not a curated record
CUUCAUUUCCAUUUCUUCAUUUCGUCUUCACCCUCAUUUCCGAGAGAGAGAGAGAGAGAGAGAGAGAGAGAGAGGGAGGGAGAGAGAAGCAAUUUUCGAGCUUGGAUCGCGAUUGGUUCGGGUUUUAAGGUGAAUUUGGGGAAAGAUCCAAGAUUUGCUUCCUACGGAAGAUGUUAUCUAGUGUGAUGAGGAUUACACGGGGUUCUUGAUAGGCGAAGACCCCUACGUUCCUGGCUACUCUCCUGAUCCUCCGGCUCAUCCCUCUCCGAAGUAUACUCCUUUUUGUGUGCAUACCUUUUGUAGCCUUAGUUUGGCUAGCAAGUUAUGAACCACUUGAACUUUCAUGUUUCGGACCUGAAGGGUCAAUCUUUGUAUAUAUACUCGUAGUUACCUUAGCUACCUUCUCUUAUUUCCGCUGCAAU